RNAcentral lists this ribosomal RNA (253 nucleotides) under uncultured bacterium. RNAcentral describes it as "partial 16S ribosomal RNA". It matches the Rfam family "Bacterial small subunit ribosomal RNA", at positions 524 to 776 of the family's 1533-position model. The record is from RNAcentral.
UACGAAGGGGGCUAGCGUUGCUCGGAAUUACUGGGCGUAAAGCGCACGUAGGCGGCUCUUUAAGUCGGAGGUGAAAUCCUGGAGCUCAACUCCAGAACUGCCCUCGAUACUGAAGAGCUCGAGUCCGGGAGAGGUGAGUGGAACUGCGAGUGUAGAGGUGAAAUUCGUAGAUAUUCGCAAGAACACCAGUGGCGAAGGCGGCUCACUGGGCCGGUACUGACACUGAGGCGCGAAAGCGUGGGGAGCAAACAGG